This 1014-nucleotide ribosomal RNA is filed under the name Lycorma delicatula (spotted lanternfly). Its description in RNAcentral is "bacterial SSU rRNA". It matches the Rfam family "Eukaryotic small subunit ribosomal RNA", at positions 42 to 927 of the family's 1831-position model. The record is from RNAcentral. Lineage: Eukaryota; Metazoa; Arthropoda; Insecta; Hemiptera; Fulgoridae.
GAUUAGCCAUGCAGUCUCAGUACAAGCCGAACUAAGGUGAAACCGCAAAAGGCUCAUUAAAUCAGUUAUGGUUCCUUGGAUCGUACAAUCCAUUACUUGGAUAACUGUGGUAAUUCUAGAGCUAAUACAUGCAAACAGAGUCCCGACCAGAAAUGGAAGGGACGCUUUUAUUAGAUCAAAACCAAUCGACGUCCGUCUUCCUCCGGGUCGACGGCGCCGUACUCCUUGGUGACUCUGAAUAACUUUUGGCAGAUCGCACGGUCUUCGAACCGGCGACGCAUCCUUCAAAUGUCUGCCUUAUCAACUGUCGAUGGUAGGUUCUGCGCCUACCAUGGUUGUAACGGGUAACGGGGAAUCAGGGUUCGAUUCCGGAGAGGGAGCCUGAGAAACGGCUACCACAUCCAAGGAAGGCAGCAGGCGCGCAAAUUACCCACUCCCGGCACGGGGAGGUAGUGACGAAAAAUAACGAUACGGGACUCAUCCGAGGCCCCGUAAUCGGAAUGAGUAUACUCUAAAUCCUUAUACGAGUAUCAAUUGGAGGGCAAGUCUGGUGCCAGCAGCCGCGGUAAUUCCAGCUCCAAUAGCGUAUAUUAAAGUUGUUGCGGUUAAAAAGCUCGUAGUUGGAUCUGUGUCCCGCACCGUCGGUUCACCGCCUGUCGGUGUUCAACUGGUGUGUAUGCGGGACGUCCUGCCGGUGGCGGUCCGGUUCCCCGUGGGUACGUAGGGGCGUCCUUGCUUACGCUUGCGUCGUCCCCGAAGGCCUGCGCGGUGUAUCCGGCCGCCUUUUCAAUCCCGUCGCGGUGCUCUUCACUGAGUGUCGAGGCGGGCCGGCACGUUUACUUUGAACAAAUUAGAGUGCUUUAAGCAGCCCUGUCCCGCCUGUAUGUUGUGUGCAUGGAAUAAUGGAAUAGGACCUCGGUUCUAUUUUGUUGGUUUUCGGAAUCUGAGGUAAUGAUCAAUGGGGACAGGCGGGGGCAUUCGUAUUGCGACGUUAGAGGUGAAAUUCUUGGAUCG